GAGGGCUUGUGGAAGCUAAGCAGGAACCAACCCUGAGGAGUCAGGAGCAGAAGGGUGGCUGGACCCUAAUUCAGAUGCUUCUAGAAAGCAAGGCUUCCCUGGGGGUCAUCUUCAGUGACAAGACAAGGCAGUCACAUGGAACCUCUGUGCACGUCCACUCUGGCGAGAGGAAGGUGUCUAACGGAAGUCAAACAUGUCCGAUUGAUGCGCUAGCCUCCUGCACAGAGAGCAGAGCCUCUCUCUUCUGGUCCCAUAGCCCCUCUUCCUGUGGGGCGGUGGCUGAGUCCCUGGGCCUCCGGAUGCGCAAUGUUUCUCAUCUAUAAACUGAUGAAAAGGGCUACCCAGCCCUUUUCAGUCUACAGCAAGUCUGAGGAGCACAGUUUCACCCGUUCAUUCAUUCAUCCGACCAAUCCAUGGUGGAGCCUGCUGAGUACCAGCCCUGGAUCCCUUGUGAGGAAGGAGGUUGGGGGUCGGGGACUGCCAUCCGGGAACCAGGAACCCAGGAGGAAAUAGACCGACACACAAAAUGAACAAGCCACGGAACCAUUUCUCAAGGGACUCCUUCCUCCAUUCUUGGCUUCCAGCCUUUUUCCUUUCCUAAUACUAAAAUUCUUUUCUGAAACACAAAGCUGGACAUCACUGCCUUGCUCAGAAACUGGCUCCCUGUUCAAUAUAAUAAAGUCCAGUUUCUCUGUCCUGGACGUUUCUCUAUUCCGGCCGCUCCAUCAAGCUGCUUCCGGUGUUUUGAACUCAUAGCAGGUGGCCUUGGCUGGGCAUCAGGUGCACUGCCAAGUGCUUUAUCUGUUCAUCUUUGCCACAGGCCAAGAGCUCCUAUCACUACCCUCUGCUUAUCGACGGGGAAACCAAGGCAGGGAGGAGCCAAGGAACUGGCCUGAGGCUGCACAGCUUGUAAAGAGCAGGUCCCUGGAGCUCAGACCCAGGUCCCACUUACGGCAGAGCCUGUGUCCUUGGCUUCUGUGCCACGCUGCCACCUAGCUUCAGGCUUCUGCACCUCUGCUCACAUCAGGUGUGGGGGCCGUCUGGUGAAAUCUCAUCAGUUACUCACGAGGCAGCUCAGAGGUCCUGAGCACCAGACUGCCCCUCACAUCCAUGGCCCUGCUCUGCCACCCCCAGCCCUCGAAGGGCCCCUGCCUAGGUCAAGCCUUAUCACGUGUGGCGGAGUUCAUACUCAUUUGCCUCCCUGAACACGUGACCAGGAUCUCAUCCACACCUGUUGCGGCCUGAGCUAAACACAGGUUUGCUGAAUGGCAGGAAAUGAACAGCGCAGGAGAGAGUGCCCUGCACGCUGGAAAGCCUCAGAGAAUCAGAAGUCAACAGAUGCUUUUAAAAUGCCUUUAUAAAAUGCAAACGGAUAUAGGAGAUGAAAUGUGCCUGAGCAUUUUUUGGUCUUGAUUUUAGUAUUACAAUUCAGGAUGGCUUCUGCCAUUUUAACCAGGGUUCACUAUCUGGGGAAGUGCUUAUGUUACUUACUGAGAAAGAGACUUGAAACUGUCCUGACACAGACUUUGCACAAAGGCAACCUUGAGGGACUUCCACGGUGGUCCACUGGCCGGGACUCUGUGUUGCCAAUGCAGGGGACCCAGGUUCAAUCCCUGGUCAGGGAACUAGGUCCCACAUGCUGCAACUAAGACCCGGUGCAGCAAAAUAGUUUUUUUUUUUUUUUUUAAGGCAACCUUGACUCUCCUGACAGAGCUCCAAGUAGCUUCAGUGCAGUGACUUGGACUGGGAGAAAAGUUUUUUAUUUAUCCUUUAUGUCACCAGGAAAUGGGUAGGACCCUGGUCUCGGAUUCAUGCACUUGGUUCUGCCUGGGGCUCUGCCCCUCACCGACUGUUCCUUAUUAAACUUCUCAGUGGAACAAGGGAGUUCCCCAAAUGAUUUCUGGGAUUCCUUUAAAUCCCAGGGUUCUUAGAUUCAGAUCUUGGCUCUGCAGCCUCAUUGCGUAGAGUCAUUUAAUUGAUUUUAGAAAGCGGUUUCCUUGGCUAUAAAUUGGAGCUGGCCUAAAUUAUCAGAAGUCUGUGGGCACUGUGAAGAAAUAUGAAUAUAAAUUGCCCUUGCAAUUAAAAAUCUAACAAAUGGGAACUUCCUGGUGGUCUAGUGGCUAAGACUUCGCAUUCCCGAUGCCAGGUGGGCCCAACUUUGAUUCCUGGUCAGGGAACUGGCUCCCACAUCCUGCAACUAAGGGUUCACACUCCACAACUAAAGAUCCCCGCAUGCCACAACUGAGACCAGUGCAGCCAAAGAAAUAAAU
Bos taurus (domestic cattle) is the source of this 2270-nucleotide long non-coding RNA. NCBI's taxonomy places the organism in Eukaryota, Metazoa, Chordata, Mammalia, Artiodactyla, Bovidae. The record is from Ensembl.